Molecule: ribosomal RNA, 1304 nt
Filed under: Coxiella burnetii RSA 331
Lineage: Bacteria; Pseudomonadati; Pseudomonadota; Gammaproteobacteria; Legionellales; Coxiellaceae
Description: bacterial LSU rRNA
Rfam family: Bacterial large subunit ribosomal RNA
Source: RNAcentral
UUUUUAUCUUUCUGUCCUCAGUCUUCUGCCAUCUGUCUUCUGAUGGGUAGAGGAGCGUUCUGUAAGCCUGUGAAGGUGAAUCGAGAGGUUUGCUGGAGGUAUCAGAAGUGCGAAUGCUGACAUAAGUAACGAUAAUGUGGGUGAAAAACCCACACGCCGAAAGUCUAAGGUUUCCUGCGCAACGUUAAUCGGCGCAGGGUGAGUCGGCCCCUAAGGCGAGGCAGAAAUGCGUAGUCGAUGGGAAACGGGUUAAUAUUCCCGUACUUUAUAAUACUGCGAUGGGAGGACGGAGAAGGCUAGGUCAGCCACCCGAUGGUUGUGGUGGUUUAAGUGUGUAGGAAGGGUUCUUUGGCAAAUCCGGGAACUCAAUUCCGAGACAUGAUGACGAAGUACGAACUUGUUCGUGCAAAGUGAUUGAUGCCACGCUUCCAGGAAAAGUCCCUAAGCUUCAGGUAUUGUAAAACCGUACUAUAAACCGACACAGGUGGACAGGUAGAGAAUACCAAGGCGCUUGAGAGAACUUGGGUGAAGGAACUAGGCAAAAUGGCACCGUAACUUCGGGAGAAGGUGCGCCCUUGGUAAGUGAAGGUCCUUGCGACUGGAGCUGAAAAGGGUUGCAGAUACCAGGUGGCUGCGACUGUUUACUAAAAACACAGCACUCUGCAAACUCGUAAGAGGACGUAUAGGGUGUGACGCCUGCCCGGUGCCGGAAGGUUAAGUGAUGGGGUUAGCCCUCGGGCGAAGCUCUUGAUCGAAGCCCCGGUAAACGGCGGCCGUAACUAUAAAUUAACCGUUGUAGUUACGUAAAUAAACUUGGCUAUAUGCUGGAAACUCCGAGUAUCCUCCAGUACUCAUCUCAACUAAAAUUGAGGUAGUAAAAAUCUGCGAGGUGCGGACAAUCAGCAGGAAAGACUAAUCUUUUUGAUUAGAAUCCUCAGAGACUAAUACGCCGAGCGUACUUAGAAAAAAUCCAUUCUAAGUGUGAUGAUAGAGUCCGAUCUCUAUAGCGAUAUAGAGGGUUUUCAAAAGAACCUGUUAAUCAUUAUCCCAUGAUUAACAUAACGUCAAUAAACGGUCCUAAGGUAGCGAAAUUCCUUGUCGGGUAAAAAAUUGCCCCGCUAAACUGUAAAGUUUAGUGAUAAAGUCAGCUCAUAUCGGGGGAACCCUCCUGCUUUUUAGCAAAGGGCAAUCCCGAGGGAAGUCUUAAAUGACCCCGUAACGACUGAUCCGAAAGGUGAGGCACGCAUUUGUGUGCAAUACGCUGACUUCUUGCCCUUGGGUUUAUACUCAAGAAGUAAGUGACU